This 478-nucleotide ribosomal RNA is filed under the name uncultured bacterium. Its description in RNAcentral is "partial 16S ribosomal RNA". It matches the Rfam family "Bacterial small subunit ribosomal RNA", at positions 28 to 507 of the family's 1533-position model. The record is from RNAcentral.
GAUGAACGCUGGCGGCGUGCUUAACACAUGCAAGUCGAACGAGAAGUGAAGACGGAAACCUUCGGGCGGAAGGCUUUAUUUCGAGUGGCGGACGGGUGAGUAACGCGUGGGUAACCUGCCUCAUACAGGGGGAUAGCAGUUGGAAACGACUGUUAAUACCGCAUAAGACCACAGCACCGCAUGGUGCGGGGGUAAAAACUCCGGUGGUAUGAGAUGGACCCGCGUUCGAUUAGCCAGUUGGCGGGGUAACGGCCCACCAAAGCGACGAUCGAUAGCCGAUCUGAGAGGAUGACCGGCCACAUUGGGACUGAGACACGGCCCAAACUCCUACGGGAGGCAGCAGUGGGGAAUAUUGCACAAUGGGGGAAACCCUGAUGCAGCGACGCCGCGUGAGUGAAGAAGUAUUUCGGUAUGUAAAGCUCUAUCAGCAGGGAAGAAAAUGACGGUACCUGAGGAAGAAGCCCCGGCUAACUACGUG